Molecule: long non-coding RNA, 1884 nt
Organism: Aplysia californica (California sea hare)
Lineage: Eukaryota; Metazoa; Mollusca; Gastropoda; Aplysiida; Aplysiidae
Exons: 3
Source: RefSeq, a predicted model, not a curated record
GGGAAACAACGGAGUUUUAUAUCUAUUGCUAGGGGGAGCAUCGUUAUUUCAAAUACGUAAAAAAUACAGUAUUGCUAUACCAAAAUGUUUUGUACUUUUGUGCAAUACCUCAUAUUAAAAAAGAUAUUUCUAGAUUACUAAAAUAGCUACUUUCUUCUUUACAAAGAAUAAAUAGACCUAAUUGAGGCAAAAAUUAAAUUCAACAACAAGUCGGUCUUCGUUCACAUAACAGAUCGCAUAAUUAGAUUCUAGACUAGGCUUAGCCAACUCGGCUUCUUCGUCGGCGAGUGGUGAGUUGUUGUGUUGAGUGAGAUCUGAGAACAGGAUCCGAUGCAAUAGAAUAGAGUCAAGAUUGCAACUGAGGACACGAGAGUUGAGGACACCACCGGGUUCACGUAGGCCUACGUCUGUGAUGAUGAUAAUUCACCGACCAUUCCUUUCAUCGAAAGGGGGCCCAGCUAGUCUAACAUCAAGGUGAAGCAUGGUCAACCUCGAGUGAGACAUGAGGUCCAUCAAUCACCAACAAGGGACUUUGUUCUUAAGUUCCCAGUAUGAAGAUUCUUUGGAGCAACGCCCAAGGUCUGAAAAGGACAUUCAGAAAAAUUUCCUUUGUCCACAAUGGACUCGUCAGUUCAGGUUACAAAUUUUGUGGCGUUUUUGGCUGUAACUCCUUUUCACCGACUUGCACAAAUGUCGCAAAUGUUCAUGCACCAAUGCUCCAGCCAGGCAGUUUCAAUCACUUCUGCACAUCAUCUGUUCGGCAGAAAGGAGCUCCAGGUUUAAAAUCAAAGGAAGACCCCAGGACUAAAGAUUACUCCGAACUGUAUUUGUUACAAAGGAUAACAUUUUUACGUGUGCUGAGUCGUUUUACAAAAUAUUCUUCCCUUUUCUUUGUAGGAGGAGCACCAAUGUUACUUGCUGCAGCACAGAUAGAAGCAGUUUCUUGGGAUAAUGCUAUUUCUCUAAGUUCUGUGUUAGCAUUUUAUUCGCUUCUGUUCACUUGUCAAAGUAUUGUCUUUUCUUCAAAAGUCGUUGGAAAAAUAAUGAUCAGUUCCGACGAAAAAUUUCUGAAAAUAUCUCACUUAUCCAUCUUUGGGGCAAGGAGAGAUAUAUAUGUCAGUCCAAAUGAUUUGGUUCCCACAACAAGAGAUGUUUUUGCCAGUAAUAUUACAACUCUUAGAAUAAAAAACUUUAGUAAGACCUUGUUCUUUCUUCCAAAACAGGGAGGUCUGGACACAGAUUAUGAAGCUCUUGAAAAGCUUCUCAUUAGAUAAUAUGCGAGUGAUUAAGCAAGUAAUCAGUGAAGCUUGGAUUUUACAAUUAUUUAUGUACAUGUAGGCUAUAUAAAAUGAAUGUAUUUUUGCACUCUGUUGAUGUAGCUGUGAAGGAAACAAAGAUGAAAACUAAUGAACAUUACAAGAAUGUUUAAGUUCCAAGGACCCCUUUAGUAGGCUGUUUCAUAUAUAUUACUCUCGAGUCAACUGUUCCAUGCAAUAGGACAAUGUGUCGAAGUGUUGAUACCUACUACAGUGGAACUCGGAUUCAACGAGGUUGCCGGGCCUGACUUAAAAUCUCGUUGAAUCUGAGUGUUCGUUAUUAUAGCCAACACGAGGUUUUGUAUCAAUACUUACUACAGGCACUGAGCAAGUACAAUGUAAUGUAUGAGGAGAAGUCACAAGUAGUGCCUGAAAUGCCUGCAUAUUGUGAGCUGUGUAAAAAAAAAAGGCCGAUUCGUUCAAAUGCAUAAAAAGUUGUGUUGCUGUGUAGAGCCUAUAGCAUAUGGUAACUUUUGAUUCCGUAGACCAGCGCACAAUUUUUUACGUAGAUCUACGUCAAGACAAACUUAUCAUUGUAAUAAUGAUCAGUUGCCAAAGGGAAAAAAAA